Molecule: unclassified non-coding RNA, 305 nt
Filed under: Hevea brasiliensis (rubber tree)
Lineage: Eukaryota; Viridiplantae; Streptophyta; Magnoliopsida; Malpighiales; Euphorbiaceae
Source: RNAcentral
AGAUAACGCCUCUGACUCAAUGAAUGCUCCUUCUGAGACGACGACGCGUCUCUUAGCUCGUGAUGACCAAAGGCUAGAAGUUGGAGUAGUGGUUUCUGGACCGGAGGGAUCUUCAGCUUGUCUUGGAGAGGAACAGAAUAACAUACCAAGCUUAGUUUCAGCGGGAUCAUCCUCGGUCAUCUCGAAGAGAAGUCACAGGCUCCUAGCAGUCGAACUCUAAGCAGAUGUUUAGGAAGAGAAAUCCCAUGAGUAUGUUUUUACAAAAAUUUUAAUAUAAAACCCGUCGCAGCAAUCGAACUCGCUAA